RNAcentral lists this long non-coding RNA (263 nucleotides) under Elaeis guineensis (African oil palm). RNAcentral describes it as "long non-coding RNA (EGUI_LNC018970)". The record is from RNAcentral. Lineage: Eukaryota; Viridiplantae; Streptophyta; Magnoliopsida; Arecales; Arecaceae.
UGCAAAUAUAUAUUUUUAACAUCACUCAUACGUCAUUUUGUGCUGGUGAUCAUAGAGCAUAGAACUAGCCAAAGUUGUAAAAUAUGACCACGUCAAGUAAACCAGACGAUGUUAAACCUGUUACUACUGGGUCAACUUCAGCUAUGUCAACUCAGAGGACGUGAAAUGGUCUUAAAUCGUGUCGGCUUUACCAACUCCAAUUCCAUACGUAUAUCCUGGUAUUCGUUUUCUUGGCUCCUUUAAUUGAUACAAAAAUAGCGGAC